RNAcentral lists this transfer RNA (71 nucleotides) under Thrichomys apereoides (common punare). Its description in RNAcentral is "tRNA-Thr". It matches the Rfam family "tRNA". Rfam says of the family: Transfer RNA (tRNA) molecules are approximately 80 nucleotides in length. Their secondary structure includes four short double-helical elements and three loops (D, anti-codon, and T loops). The record is from RNAcentral. Lineage: Eukaryota; Metazoa; Chordata; Mammalia; Rodentia; Echimyidae.
GCCUUAGUAGUAUAAAUAACAAUUACACUGGUCUUGUAAACCAGAAACGGAGUAAAUCACCCCCUAAGACA